UACGAAGGGGGCUAGCGUUGCUCGGAAUUACUGGGCGUAAAGCGCACGUAGGCGGCUUUCUAAGUCGGGGGUGAAAUCCUGGAGCUCAACUCCAGAACUGCCUUCGAUACUGGAGAGCUCGAGUCCGGGAGAGGUGAGUGGAACUGCGAGUGUAGAGGUGAAAUUCGUAGAUAUUCGCAAGAACACCAGUGGCGAAGGCGGCUCACUGGCCCGGUACUGACGCUGAGGUGCGAAAGCGUGGGGAGCAAACGGGG
This 254-nucleotide ribosomal RNA is filed under the name uncultured bacterium. RNAcentral describes it as "partial 16S ribosomal RNA". It matches the Rfam family "Bacterial small subunit ribosomal RNA", at positions 524 to 777 of the family's 1533-position model. The record is from RNAcentral.